AGUAACCUGCCUUGGAGUGGGGAAUAACACAUCGAAAGAUGUGCUAAUACCGCAUAAUGCAGUUGGGCCGCAUGGCUCUGGCUGCCAAAGAUUUAUCGCUCUGAGAUGGACUCGCGUCUGAUUAGCUGGUUGGCGGGGUAACGGCCCACCAAGGCGACGAUCAGUAGCCGGACUGAGAGGGCGGACGGCCACACUGGGACUGAGACACGGCCCAGACUCCUACGGAAGGCAGCAG
This 235-nucleotide ribosomal RNA is filed under the name uncultured bacterium. RNAcentral's name for it is "partial 16S ribosomal RNA". It matches the Rfam family "Bacterial small subunit ribosomal RNA", at positions 120 to 354 of the family's 1533-position model. The record is from RNAcentral.